This 468-nucleotide ribosomal RNA is filed under the name uncultured bacterium. RNAcentral's name for it is "partial 16S ribosomal RNA". It matches the Rfam family "Bacterial small subunit ribosomal RNA", at positions 28 to 507 of the family's 1533-position model. The record is from RNAcentral.
GACGAACGCUGGCGGCGUGCUUAACACAUGCAAGUCGAACGGAAAGGCCCUGCUUUUGUGGGGUGCUCGAGUGGCGAACGGGUGAGUAACACGUGAGUAACCUGCCCUUGACUUUGGGAUAACUUCAGGAAACUGGGGCUAAUACCGGAUAUGAGCUCCUGCUGCAUGGUGGGGGUUGGAAAGUUUCGGCGGUUGGGGAUGGACGCGCGGCUUAUCAGCUUGUUGGUGGGGUAGUGGCUUACCAAGGCAUUGACGGGUAGCCGGCAUGAGAGGGUAAACGGGCACAAGGGGCCUGCGAGACGGCGCAGAGGCGAACGGGAGGCAGCGGGGGGGAAUAUUGCACAGUGGGCGGGAGUGUGGUGCGGCAACGCCGCGUGCGGGAUGACCGCCUGCGGGUUGUAAACCGCUUUCGCCUGUGACGGAGCGUGAGUGACGGUAAUGGAUAAAGAAGCACCGGCUAACUACGUG